UCCGUAGGUGAACCUGCGGAGGGAUCAUUACACAAAUAUGAAGGCGGGCUGGAAUCUCUCGGGGUUACAGCCUUGCUGAAUUAUUCACCCUUGUCUUUUGCGUACUUCUUGUUUCCUUGGUGGGUUCGCCCACCACUAGGACAAACAUAAACCUUUUGUAAUUGCAAUCAGCGUCAGUAACAAAUUAAUAAUUACAACUUUCAACAACGGAUCUCUUGGUUCUGGCAUCGAUGAAGAACGCAGCGAAAUGCGAUAAGUAGUGUGAAUUGCAGAAUUCAGUGAAUCAUCGAAUCUUUGAACGCACAUUGCGCCCUUUGGUAUUCCAAAGGGCAUGCCUGUUCGAGCGUCAUUUGUACCCUCAAGCUUUGCUUGGUGUUGGGCGUCUUGUCUCUAGCUUUGCUGGAGACUCGCCUUAAAGUAAUUGGCAGCCGGCCUACUGGUUUCGGAGCGCAGCACAAGUCGCACUCUCUAUCAGCAAAGGUCUAGCAUCCAUUAAGCCUUUUUCAACUUUGACCUCGAUCAGGUAGGGAUACCCGCUGAACUUAAGCAUAUCAAAGUCCGGAGGAA
Molecule: ribosomal RNA, 567 nt
Filed under: Alternaria longipes
Lineage: Eukaryota; Fungi; Ascomycota; Dothideomycetes; Pleosporales; Pleosporaceae
Description: eukaryotic LSU rRNA
Rfam family: 5.8S ribosomal RNA (bases 196-349)
Source: RNAcentral